This is a long non-coding RNA of Cimex lectularius (bed bug), 339 nucleotides long. RefSeq lists it as uncharacterized. The record is from RefSeq and is a predicted model, not a curated record. The transcript has 2 exons. NCBI's taxonomy places the organism in Eukaryota, Metazoa, Arthropoda, Insecta, Hemiptera, Cimicidae.
GAAGACUCGAAUGAUUUAAAAGCGCACCGGUAAAUUCAAUAACCAAGAAAAAUAAUUACCGGACGAUCCAACAGAAAGAAUCCGUAUUCAAUGAAAUGAUGACCUAUUUGUGUAAUAUUGAGAGAUUUACUUACUGUAGAUUCCAUGAGUCGUCUCUUAUCUCCCUUCCGUGACGGCCUUUACCUAUGUACUGUGUUGGUUUAUUAUUAAAGUCGUUUCGAAGCUCACCCUUCAGAAAUGCCUUGUCAGUUGGAAAAGGAAGAAAACACCAUUUGCCUGAAUACGGAAAAUUUGGUCUGUCUCGCCAUCACAGAUAAUGGCACGGGUACAAUUUGAAAA